UUUGUAUUUUUAGUAGAGAUGGGGUUUCACCAUGUUGGCCAGGCUGGUCUCAAACUCCUGACCUCAGCCUCCCAAGUAGCUGGGAUUAUAGGCAUGCACCACCACGCCCAGCUAAUUUUUGUAUUUUUUGUGGACAUGGGAUUUCACCAUGUUGCCCAGGCUGGUCUCGAACUCCUGAGCUCAAGUGAUCAAGGCCUGCCUCGGCCUCCCAAAGUGCUGGGAUUACAGAUGUGAGCCACCGAGCCUGGCUGGUUUUUGCCUUUUGACUUGAGAACAGGUAGAUGAUCUUGCCAUUUGCUGAUGUGAGGAAGACUGAGGAGGGACAGAGUUUUGGUGGGGAGGAAUUCAAAGUUCUGUUUUGGACAUGUUAAAUUCAAAAUGCCCAUGAGACAUGCAAGUAGAGAAGUAGACAGUGGGCUGGAGCACAUGCUGUCUGUGUAAUUGUCCAAACCAGUCGUGGUAAGCAGAAUAAUGGCCCUCACCAAAGAUGUCCACACCUUAACCCCCAGAACCUGUGAGUAUGUUACCUUUCAUGACAAAAGAGACUUUGCAGAUGUGAUUACUGUUACAGACAUUGAGAUGGAGGGAUUCUCCUGGAUUCAUUGGGUGGGCCCCUAAUCACAAUCCUUAAAAUCACAAGUGGGGCCAGGCACGGUGGCUCACGGCUAUAAUCCCAGCACUUUGGGCGGCCAAGGCGGGUGGAUCAUUUGAGGUCAGGGGUUUGAGACCAGCCUGGCCAACAUGGUGAAACCCCACCUCUACUAAAAAUACAAAAAUUAGCCGGGUGUGGUGGCACACACCUGUAAUUCCAGCUACUCAGGAGGCUGAGGCAGGAGCAUCGCUUGAACCUGGGAGGUGGAGGUUGCAGUGAGCCAAGAUCACACCACUACAAUCCAGCCUGGGUGACAGAGUGAGACUUUGUCUCAAAAAAAAGAAAAAAAAAAAAUCACAAGUGGAAGAGGAAGACAGAAGAAUGGGUCAGGGAGAUGCAAGGAUGGAAGAAGAGGCAGGAGAAAUGAGGCCUGAGAAGAACUGGACUCGCCACUGCUGGCUUUGAAGACAAAGGUUUCCAGGUGCCAAGAAAUGGGUAUGGCCUCUAGAAGCUGAGCAUGACCCUCAGCUGACAGCCAGCAAGGAAACAAAGGACUUCAGCCCUACAGUCACAAUGAACUGAACUCAGCCAAGAACCUGAAUAAGCAAGCUAACCAAUUCACCUCUGGAGCCUCCAGAGAGGCAUGCAGGCCUGCCGACACUUCGAUUUUGGCCCAGUGAGACCCACGUCAGACUUGUGACUACAGAACUACAAGCUAAUAAAUUUGUGUUGUUUAAGCCAAUGCAUUUGUGGUAAUUUGUUAUAGCAGCCAUAGGAAACUAGUAUAUCAGAACUUUAUUGAUAAUUAUUUCAGGAUAAUAGGGACAAGUCUAGAGUGUGGGGAAGAGUGAUGACUGGAGAUAGGAAUUUGGGUGUCAUCAGCAGAUAGAUGGCAAGGGACUGAGUAAGAGCAGCAAAGGAGUGGAUGGGAAGAAACUUCUGGGGGAGUUGGAAGCAACAAAAACUGACACUCAGGAUGGUGGCCAAAGAAAGGCCUCAAGGGACGUGAGGCCGGGCAUGGUGACUCAUGCCUAUAAUCCCCGCACUUUGGGAGGCCGAGGUGGGUGAAUCUCUUGAGGUCAGGAGUUUGAGACCAGCCUGGCCAACAUAGUGAAACCCCAUCUCUACAAAAAUACAAAAAUUACCUGGGUGUGGUGGCGGGCACAUGUAAUCCCAGAUACUUGGGAGGGUGAGGCAGGAGAAUUGCUUCAGCCCGGGAGGCGGAGGUUGCCGUGAGUUGAGAUCACACCACUGCACUCCAGCCUGGGCAACAGAGCAAGACUCUGUCUCAAAAAAAAAAAAAAAAAGAUGGGACUUGAACCAGGCAUGCUGACUUGAAGCCCUAGUACAUUCUAUUGUGAUGCAGGUGCCUCUAAUCUAAUCACAGACAAUGAGGAGGAAAAAAAACAAGUAUAACAACAAUAGGAGACUGGAGAAGGGAUAGACACGGGGAAAGUCGGGGCAAGUUGGGGCAAGUCGGGAAAAGUCGUGUACUAGCAGAAAGCAAAAAUAAAUUCUUCAGUCAUUCGUAUCUCUCCCUUUUGUUGUCAUUGCUAGCCAAAAAUAAAAGUAAUAUCCAAACUAACUGAUAUGAUAUUCAGGUCCAUUUGACAGCUGUUACUUAGGAACUGUCUAAAAUAUUCCAAUGGGGCCAGGCACAGUGGCUCAUGCCUGUAAUCUCAGCACUUUGGGAGGCCAAGGUGGGAGGACUGCUUGAGUCCAAAGAGUUCAAGACAAGCUUGGGCAACAUAGGGAGAUCCUGUCUCUACAAAAAAAUUUAAGAAUUAGCCAGAGGUGGUGGCAGGUGCCUGUGGUCCCAGCUAAUCGAGAGGCUGAGGUGGGAGGGUCACUUGAGCCCAGGAGGUCAAGGAUGUAGUGACAGUGAGCCAUGAUCACGCCACUGCACUCCAGCCUGGGCGACAGAGUGAAACCUUAUCUCAAAAAUAAAUAUAAAUAAAUAAAUAAAAUAUUACAAUAGGAUGAUGGAAACGAGGGGGGUGUGUUUGACAUACAGCAAAGCACAUAUAGCUAUAGUAGUCAUCAGAAGAUAAAUACCACAUAUUAGAUCCUGAAAUAAAUAUUUUUGCUCACAUCUCUAAAAGGAAACUUGAAAUAAAAUUUCAUGUACUCAUUAUGUUUACUUUGGAAUUAGAAGUUAUACAUCUUUAUCAAAGAUGAAUCUCUGCUCCAUUUUCAAUAAGCUCACCUGGGGAUCCUGAUUGUUAUACCAAGCUGC
RNAcentral lists this long non-coding RNA (2828 nucleotides) under Homo sapiens (human). RNAcentral's name for it is "HSALNT0408550". The record is from RNAcentral. Lineage: Eukaryota; Metazoa; Chordata; Mammalia; Primates; Hominidae.